RNAcentral lists this small RNA (57 nucleotides) under Arabidopsis thaliana (thale cress). Its description in RNAcentral is "ATSL072590". The record is from RNAcentral. Lineage: Eukaryota; Viridiplantae; Streptophyta; Magnoliopsida; Brassicales; Brassicaceae.
AGCAGAUGAUGAAUAUACCACCGGAGAAACCUAAUGUAGUUGUGGUUGAAGAAGGUA